GCCGGAGUGGUGAAAUUGGCAGACACGAUUGACUCAAAAUCAGUUGCCUUUGCGGGCUUGUGGGUUCGAGUCCCACCUCCGGCA
Chloroflexi bacterium OLB15 is the source of this 84-nucleotide non-coding RNA. The record is from Rfam. Lineage: Bacteria; Bacillati; Chloroflexota.